This is a non-coding RNA of Gossypium raimondii (Peruvian cotton), 145 nucleotides long. The record is from Rfam. NCBI's taxonomy places the organism in Eukaryota, Viridiplantae, Streptophyta, Magnoliopsida, Malvales, Malvaceae.
UAUUAAAAUUUUCAUCAAUUUGUACUAUUAAAAACUAACGGGACUGACGGAAUAACUUGACAGUGAGGCUUGGUAUGCCAUGUGUACCUUAUGUUAACGUAUAGGGUCCAAUUUUUAAUAGCAAAAAUAGAUGGAAUUCUUAACA